GUGGGGAAUAUUGGACAAUGGGCGAAAGCCUGAUCCAGCCAUGCCGCGUGUGUGAAGAACGUCUUCGGAUUGUAAAGCACUUUAAGUUGGGAGGAAGGGCAGUAAGUUAAUACCUUGCUGUUUUGACGUUACCGACAGAAUAAGCACCGGCUAACUUCGUGCCAGCAGCCGCGGUAAUACGAAGGGUGCAAGCGUUAAUCGGAAUUACUGGGCGUAAAGCGCGCGUAGGUGGUUUUGUAAGUUGGAGGUGAAAUCCCCGGGCUCAACCUGGGAACUGCCUCCAAAACUGCAUGACUAGAGUACGGUAGAGGGUAGUGGAAUUUCCUGUGUAGCGGUGAAAUGCGUAGAUAUAGGAAGGAACACCAGUGGCGAAGGCGACUACCUGGACUGAUACUGACACUGAGGUGCGAAAGCGUGCGGAGCAAACAGGAUUAGAAACCCUGGUAGUCC
Molecule: ribosomal RNA, 450 nt
Filed under: uncultured bacterium
Lineage: Bacteria
Description: partial 16S ribosomal RNA
Rfam family: Bacterial small subunit ribosomal RNA
Source: RNAcentral